GAUCACAUGCGUCAUCAAGCAGCAACCAGGGCUAUUGACUUCUAUUGGCUAGAAGAAUCAAGAUAUGGCGCUCCUAUUGGUGGAAGAAAUGUCCGUCAUCUAUACGCGCUUGUCUAUUCAAGAUUUUGGCUAGAAGGGAUACAGCUACCUCCACUGGGCAUGCGCACUUCUAUACCGCAUAAUUUUUGUCACGCUGACAACAGUUAAUGACUAUUUUUUAUCAUUGUAAGGUUAGGUUUAGAGUUGGGGUAGGUGUAGGCGUUAGCUAAUGUAAUCUAUUGUAAUUUUAUGGCGAGAUUUUGUAUUACUUCCGGCCGUAGCUGUAUCCCUUCUAGCCACAACUAUACACUGAUCUAUAUUGGCCCUGUUCUAAAUGGCGCACUCCGGUCUUGUGGAUCUCCACCGAGUCCACACUUGGUGACAUCAGGAAGUGCAGACCUAUAGUGCACUAGGCACGAGUCCAUAAGAGUACAUGGGAGUGCAUUUUGGAAGUAAUGCAACUGCUCUGCUGCCAGUUUCAUUUCAAAAUCAAUUCCAACCUUCUAAGGUCGCGGACUUAAAACGAGGACUGUUUUAAGGACGCAGCCUCAAACGUCCACGAAGCGAACUGAAAUGAGACGGUCUAGCCUUUCUAGCUGCGUCACCUGUUCCCACCCACCGCCCCUGUCACCUAGCAACUGUGCCAUCUGCAGGUGAUACGGAGAUGGAGAUGCUUUAUCAUUCCCGUUGCCGGCGGGUGAUGUAUCUUAGGCUGAGACUGGACCAUUACCAGAGGCCAGUAGCUGACGAUUGGCGGGAGCCUAUAUUCAGCUCACCCGAAGAGCCUUCACAGAGCACCUUGCCUGCACGCCCCGGAGCAUUUUCCCAAGACAUUCACACACCCAGCGGACUCAAAGACUCCCCAUGUACAUACCUCACUCGGCACUUUCUGUGUGAAUAAAUCACCCUCCGGGGCCUUUUUUGGACAACUGUGUCGGUUUCGUUGCUCUGCCCACCACACAUCAUAGCCCUAGAUCAGUGUUUCCCAACCGCUGUUCAUUUUCCACGGCACACCGGACAACUUGUCACGGCACACUAGUGUGCCGCGGAAAAUGAAGUGAAAGUGAAAACAAUGUUGGGUCCAAAUGCUGCCAAAGAAAUUGCAAAAGUGCCCGUUUCAAACAAUUCAAUCGCCAGACGCAUUGAUGAUAUGUCCGCUGACAUUGAGAGUGUUGUACUGGAAAAAAUAAAAACUAGCGUCAAAUUUGCACUCCAAAUUGAUGAAUCAACAGACAUAAGUGGGAAUGCUCAGCUAUUAGCAAACGUGCGCUUUGUGGAUGGUGAAAUCAUCAGAGAGAAUUUUUAUUUUUGCAAAGAGUUGCCAUCAAAAACAACAGGAGAGGAUAUAUUUCGAAUGGCAUCCGAUUACAUUGAACAAGGAGGACUAAAAUGGGAAAACUGCGUGAGUGUGUGUACCGACGGAGCAGCAUCCAUGACUGGGAAUACCAAGGGAUUCGUCAGUAGAGUCAAAGAAAAAAAUCCGAAAGUCACGGUCACGCAUUUUUGCACACCUGAAUGAACUGAACACGCGAAUGCAAGGGAGAAAUGAAAAUGUACUAACUAGCACAGACAAACUGCAUGGAUUCAGAUCAAAGCUUGCCCUCUGGCGACAACAUGUAGAAAAAGGCUCUCUUGAGAUGUUUCCCCUUGCCCAAACUGGACAUUCAGACAACUUUGCGGCAUUGUGUGAGGUAAUUUGUAAGCAUCUAUCAACUCUCAAAGAAAAAUUCUCUUUUUAUUUCCCCUUAACAUCACCUGAAGCCUUUGACUGGGUUCGAGACCCAAUUAGCUCAUCUGCAAUGGAUAACACAAAUGGACUGUCGCUGCAGCAACAAGAGCAGCUCACUGAAAUGAGACAGGACCGUGGUUUGAAAAUUACAUUCAGUGACCUACCUUAGGACAGUUUCUGGUUGACUGCUGCCAAAGAGUACCCAGUCAUUGCAGACAGUGCAAUCUCAGUGUUGUUAUCUUUUUCCACAACCUACUUAUGUGAGCUCAGCUUUUCCAGUUUGACUUAUAUAACGAACAAAAAUAGAGAAAGAUUGAGAGCAGUUGACCAAGAGCUCCGUGUGUCGUUGUCGUGUCGAGUAUAUCAUCUUUGUGUUCAUCAAAACAAGCUCAAGUUUCACAUUGACAUCAUAUAAAAAAGGUUGGGAAACACUGCCCUAGAGGAUGAGGAUGAGGGGGACAGUGAUUUGGAGGCAGCCAGUGGUACUGCCUGGUGUGACCGACUGUCUGCAGAGGUGUCUGCCCUGGAGGAGGUGCCCACUGACCAUGACAUUU
Molecule: long non-coding RNA, 2322 nt
Organism: Triplophysa rosa
Lineage: Eukaryota; Metazoa; Chordata; Actinopteri; Cypriniformes; Nemacheilidae
Exons: 5
Source: RefSeq, a predicted model, not a curated record